UAAGCUGUACCUUAAUUGGCAGAAUGCUUGUCUAGCAUGCAUGAGGCUCUGGGUUUGAUUCCCAGCAGCAUAU
Molecule: transfer RNA, 73 nt
Filed under: Mus musculus (house mouse)
Lineage: Eukaryota; Metazoa; Chordata; Mammalia; Rodentia; Muridae
Rfam family: tRNA
About the family: Transfer RNA (tRNA) molecules are approximately 80 nucleotides in length.
Source: Rfam by way of RNAcentral